RNAcentral lists this long non-coding RNA (267 nucleotides) under Marmota monax (woodchuck). Lineage: Eukaryota; Metazoa; Chordata; Mammalia; Rodentia; Sciuridae. The record is from RNAcentral.
CCUGCAGCGCGUCAUCGACUAUAUCCUUGACCUCCAGGUGGUCCUGGCCGAGCCGGCUCCUGGGCCCCCAGACGGUCCUCAUCUCCCCAUCCAGACAGCUGAGCUUGCUCCGGAACUUGUGAUCUCCAACGACAAGAGGAGCUUCUGCCACUGACCCUGCCGUCCUGGCACCUCCAGAACGCAGGUGCUGGCGCCCGUUCCGCCUGGGACCCGGGGACCCUCUCCGGCCGGAAGCUCCAGGGCAUGGAUGAGCCCUAACCUCGCCCU